Molecule: ribosomal RNA, 1414 nt
Filed under: Bacillus pumilus
Lineage: Bacteria; Bacillati; Bacillota; Bacilli; Caryophanales; Bacillaceae
Description: bacterial SSU rRNA
Source: RNAcentral
GCAAGUCGAGCGAACAGAAGGGAGCUUGCUCCCGGAUGUUAGCGGCGGACGGGUGAGUAACACGUGGGUAACCUGCCUGUAAGACUGGGAUAACUCCGGGAAACCGGAGCUAAUACCGGAUAGUUCCUUGAACCGCAUGGUUCAAGGAUGAAAGACGGUUUCGGCUGUCACUUACAGAUGGACCCGCGGCGCAUUAGCUAGUUGGUGGGGUAAUGGCUCACCAAGGCGACGAUGCGUAGCCGACCUGAGAGGGUGAUCGGCCACACUGGGACUGAGACACGGCCCAGAYUCCUACGGGAGGCAGCAGUAGGGAAUCUUCCGCAAUGGACGAAAGUCUGACGGAGCAACGCCGCGUGAGUGAUGAAGGUUUUCGGAUCGUAAAGCUCUGUUGUUAGGGAAGAACAAGUGCGAGAGUAACUGCUCGCACCUUGACGGUACCUAACCAGAAAGCCACGGCUAACUACGUGCCAGCAGCCGCGGUAAUACGUAGGUGGCAAGCGUUGUCCGGAAUUAUUGGGCGUAAAGGGCUCGCAGGCGGUUUCUUAAGUCUGAUGUGAAAGCCCCCGGCUCAACCGGGGAGGGUCAUUGGAAACUGGGAAACUUGAGUGCAGAAGAGGAGAGUGGAAUUCCACGUGUAGCGGUGAAAUGCGUAGAGAUGUGGAGGAACACCAGUGGCGAAGGCGACUCUCUGGUCUGUAACUGACGCUGAGGAGCGAAAGCGUGGGGAGCGAACAGGAUUAGAUACCCUGGUAGUCCACGCCGUAAACGAUGAGUGCUAAGUGUUAGGGGGUUUCCGCCCCUUAGUGCUGCAGCUAACGCAUUAAGCACUCCGCCUGGGGAGUACGGUCGCAAGACUGAAACUCAAAGGAAUUGACGGGGGCCCGCACAAGCGGUGGAGCAUGUGGUUUAAUUCGAAGCAACGCGAAGAACCUUACCAGGUCUUGACAUCCUCUGACAACCCUAGAGAUAGGGCUUUCCCUUCGGGGACAGAGUGACAGGUGGUGCAUGGUUGUCGUCAGCUCGUGUCGUGAGAUGUUGGGUUAAGUCCCGCAACGAGCGCAACCCUUGAUCUUAGUUGCCAGCAUUUAKUUGGGCACUCUAAGGUGACUGCCGGUGACAAACCGGAGGAAGGKGGGGRUGAMGUCAAAUCAUCAUGCSCCUUAUKAMYUGGGSUACACACGUGSUAYAAUGGASAGAACAAAGGGCUGCGAGACCGCAAGGUUUAGCCAAUCCCAUAAAUCUGUUCUCAGUUCGGAUCGCAGUCUGCAACUCGACUGCGUGAAGCUGGAAUCGCUAGUAAUCGCGGAUCAGCAUGCCGCGGUGAAUACGUUCCCGGGCCUUGUACACACCGCCCGUCACACCACGAGAGUUUGUAACACCCGAAGUCGGUGAGGUAACCUUUAUGGAGCCAGCC